GAACUGGAGCUACUGGUGCAGGAAGUGAAACCGGAUAUUAUAGGGAUAACAGAAACCUGGUGGAAUAGUACUCAUGACUGGAGUACAGGUAUUGAAGGCUAUGUGCUGUUUAGAAAAGACAGGAAGAAAGACAAAGGUGGUGGAGUAGCCUUGUACAUCAAUGAUGAGAUUAACUGUAAUGAAAUAAGAAGCGAUGGAAUGGAUAAGACAGAGUCUGUCUGGGCAAAAAUCAAACUGGGUAAAAAAGCAAUUAGAGCUUCCCCUGAGAUAGUGCUUGGGGUGUGCUAUAGACUGCCCGGAUCUGAUUUGGAUAUGGAUAGAGACCUCUUUAAUGUCUUUAAUGAAGUAAACACAAAGGGGAAAUGUGUGAUUAUGGGAGACUUCAACUUCCCAGAUAUAGACUGGAGGACGAGUGCUUGCAAGAAUAAUAGGGGUCAGAUUUUUCUGGAUGUGAUAGCGGAUGGAUUUCUUCAUCAAGUAGUUGAAGUACCUACGAGAGGGGAUGCCAUUUUAGAUUUGGUUUUCGUGAGCAGUGAGGACCUCGUAGAAGAAAUGGUGGUAGGGGAUAACCUUGGUUCGAGUGAUCAUGAGCUGAUUCAGUUCAAAUUAGAUGGAAGGAUAAACAAAUGUAGAUCUCGGAUUAGGGUUUUCGAUUUCUCGAGGGCUAAUUUUAAAGAGUUAAGGAAAUUAGUUAUGGAAGUGGAUUGGACGGAGGAACUUGCGGAUUUAAAUGCGGAGGAGGCCUGGAAUUACUUUAAGUCGCAGCUGCAGAAAUUGUCGGAAGCCUGCAUCCCAAGAGAGGGGAAAAAAACCAUGGGCAGGAGUUGUAGGCCAAGCUGGAUGAGCAAGCAACUCAGAGAGGGGAUUAGGAGAAAGCAGAAAGCUUACAGGGAGUGGAAGAAAGGCGGGAUUAGCAAGGGAAGCUACCUUGGUGAGGUCAGAACAUGUAGGGAUAAAGUGAGGAAGGCUAAAAGCCGCAUUGAACUGGACCUUGCAAAGGGAAUCAAAACCAAUAGUAAAAG
RNAcentral lists this long non-coding RNA (1022 nucleotides) under Gopherus evgoodei (Goodes thornscrub tortoise). Its description in RNAcentral is "lncRNA (ENSGEVG00005018280.1)". Lineage: Eukaryota; Metazoa; Chordata; Testudines; Testudinidae. The record is from RNAcentral.